This 960-nucleotide ribosomal RNA is filed under the name Fomitopsis juniperina. Its description in RNAcentral is "eukaryotic LSU rRNA". It matches the Rfam family "Eukaryotic large subunit ribosomal RNA", at positions 32 to 978 of the family's 3401-position model. The record is from RNAcentral. Lineage: Eukaryota; Fungi; Basidiomycota; Agaricomycetes; Polyporales; Fomitopsidaceae.
ACUUAAGCAUAUCAAUAAGCGGAGGAAAAGAAACUAACAAGGAUUCCCCUAGUAACUGCGAGUGAAGCGGGAAAAGCUCAAAUUUAAAAUCUGGCGGUCUUUGACCGUCCGAGUUGUAGUCUGGAGAAGUGCUUUCCGCGCUGGACCGUGUACAAGUCUCUUGGAACAGAGCGUCAUAGAGGGUGAGAAUCCCGUCUUUGACACGGACUACCAGUGCUUUGUGAUGCGCUCUCAAAGAGUCGAGUUGUUUGGGAAUGCAGCUCAAAAUGGGUGGUAAAUUCCAUCUAAAGCUAAAUAUUGGCGAGAGACCGAUAGCGAACAAGUACCGUGAGGGAAAGAUGAAAAGCACUUUGGAAAGAGAGUUAAACAGUACGUGAAAUUGCUGAAAGGGAAACGCUUGAAGUCAGUCGCGUUGGCCAGGACUCAGCCUUGCUUUUGCUUGGUGCACUUUCUGGUUGACGGGCCAGCAUCGAUUUUGACCGCUGGAAAAAGGUUGGGGGAAUGUGGCACCUUCGGGUGUGUUAUAGCCCUCAGUCACAUACGGUGGUUGGGAUCGAGGACCGCAGCACGCCUUCAUGGCCGGGGUUCGCCCACGUUCGUGCUUAGGAUGCUGGCGUAAUGGCUUUAAACGACCCGUCUUGAAACACGGACCAAGGAGUCUAACAUGCCUGCGAGUGUUUGGGUGGAAAACCCGAGCGCGUAAUGAAAGUGAAAGUUGAGAUCCCUGUCGCGGGGAGCAUCGACGCCCGGACCUGAACUUCGGUGAUGGCUCUGCGGUAGAGCAUGUAUGUUGGGACCCGAAAGAUGGUGAACUAUGCCUGAAUAGGGUGAAGCCAGAGGAAACUCUGGUGGAGGCUCGUAGCGAUUCUGACGUGCAAAUCGAUCGUCAAAUUUGGGUAUAGGGGCGAAAGACUAAUCGAACCAUCUAGUAGCUGGUUCCUGCCGAAGUUUCCCUCAGGA